RNAcentral lists this non-coding RNA (885 nucleotides) under Chrionema furunoi. RNAcentral's name for it is "partial 12S rRNA". It matches the Rfam family "Bacterial small subunit ribosomal RNA", at positions 307 to 1527 of the family's 1533-position model. The record is from RNAcentral. Lineage: Eukaryota; Metazoa; Chordata; Actinopteri; Pempheriformes; Percophidae.
ACCCCCGUGAGAAUGCCCCACAGUGCCCCGUUCGGGAACAAGGAGCUGGUAUCAGGCACAUACCCCACAGCCCAUGACACCUUGCUUAGCCACACCCUCAAGGGAACUCAGCAGUGAUAAACAUUAAGCCAUGAGUGAAAACUUGACUUAGUUAAAGCUAACAGGGUCGGUAAAACUCGUGCCAGCCACCGCGGUUAUACGAGAGACCCAAGUUGAUAGCCACCGGCGUAAAGCGUGGUUAAGAUCCAGGGAAACACUAAAGCCGAAUGCCCUUAGAGCUGUUAUACGCACCUAAAGGUAAGAAGCCCAAUCACGAAAGUAGCUUUAUUUCCCCGAACCCACGAGAGCUAGGGCACAAACUGGGAUUAGAUACCCCCCUAUGCCUAGCCGUAAACAUAGAUAGUAAUCUACCUCCACUAUCCGCCCGGGUACUACGAGCAUUAGCUUGAAACCCAAAGGACUUGGCGGUGCUUUAGAUCCACCUAGAGGAGCCUGUUCUAGAACCGAUACCCCCCGUUAAACCUCACCUUUCCUUGUUCCCCCCGCCUAUAUACCGCCGUCGUCAGCUUACCCUAUGAAGGCCUAACAGUAAGCAAAAUUGGCACAGCCCAAAACGUCAGGUCGAGGUGUAGCGCAUGGAGAGGGAAGAAAUGGGCUACAUUCCCUGCCCCAGUGAACACGAACAACGCACUGAAACGUACGUUCGAAGGAGGAUUUAGCAGUAAGCAGAAAAUAGAGUGUUCCGCUGAAAUUGGCCCUGAAGCGCGCACACACCGCCCGUCACUCUCCCCAAGUCCUAAAAACUUCCUACAUAAGACCUAAAAUUCACGAAGGGGAGGCAAGUCGUAACAUGGUAAGCAUACCGGAAGGUGUGCUUGGAAAAAC